Long non-coding RNA from Galleria mellonella (greater wax moth), 1293 nucleotides. RefSeq lists it as uncharacterized. The record is from RefSeq and is a predicted model, not a curated record. The transcript has 3 exons. Lineage: Eukaryota; Metazoa; Arthropoda; Insecta; Lepidoptera; Pyralidae.
CCUAUAAAAAGCACCACUAUCACAGACUGCACUGUGCCACCUAUGUUAUUCCUCAUAACUAAGUUAUUAUGUCUUUGCAUUGUAUAAUUAAAUUACCAACUUCUUCUUCAAACUGAAACAUAACAAUAACCCAAGUACAGUUGCAUGGCAGUAGAAAUACAACUACGAGAGAGAAGGGGAGUUUUGCUAGUAGAUAGGGACAAUGUGCUUCAUGAAUGCGAUCAACCAAAAUGUUUUAUUCUCAACGGUGGUCUGCACUCUGCCGGUUUACUAAGUGCUUUUUCACGCUACGUUUGAAAGAUCCGAUGUUAUGCAGACGAUGACUGGGAUAUGAUACACGAAAGCCAUUCCCACAAUGUUACGGUGUAGUUCAGAGCCUAAUCUUGGAAUAUUAGCCCCGUUUGUAAUCUUUAUUUACGCUGGCGAGAUACUAAUGAAGAAUUAUGUAAUAAUGAAAUUGAACUAUAUCAUGACUAUUAUAAAAUAUUAUAUUCAUCAGGAAUUAAGCACGAUAGUUUCUAGGGGUGAUCGUGUGGCGAUCGACCUAGUUAAGCAACCCUGUUGUGAUUGGAUGUACCUAUAUAUCAAUGAAAUAAUCACAAUACUAGUUCCUUAGUAGGAUUAGAUGAAAAUGUUGUUUCCAUACCUCGAUUAUUGAUCUAUCUUCUCAAAAUCUCUUUAUACAUAAGAUAUUUUUGUACGAAAAUGAAAUUGUUGAAAAGCCCUUCAGAUAAUACCUAAUAAUAAAAUUUACUGCGAGAUAAGGUACUAUUCAACAUAUUCAUCAUAUUUUUUUUUUAUGGGUGAAAAUGGUAUGGUAACCCCGCCUGCGCUAACGGGGUACGCUGGCGGAGCACCAGUGAAGGGUGAUAGAUGAGAAUGAAAACAGGUCAGUUAGGCCAUCAUGAUGAAUUCAUCAGGAAUUCACCAUGAUAGUUUCCAGGGAGAACCGCGAGGAGGUCGACCUGGUUGGGUAUAUUGCUAGCAAUGGGAUUCUCAGUCUCCAUUACUAACAAUCCCUUUCCCCCACAUAAUAUAAGUAUUGAUACAUGGUAUAUAUUUGUAUAUGGACCACAUGUAGUUAAAUAAAUUUAAUUCAGUUAUAAAGAUUGAUUAAAGAUAUUAUACAUAUAUAUAGCUAUUCUUCGCGGACUUGUACGUGUAAAUUAAUAUAAUAUAUAAAAUAUUCCAUGAUAUGUUAGGAUAUAACCUACCAAUUCCAUUCAAAUCCGUUCAGCCGUUUAAGCGUGAUUAAAUAACAAACAUCUUUAUUUCAAGCAUGUAUUUUAUAUC